CUAAGAGCGAAUGGUGGAUGCCUUGACUGGUAAAGGCGAUGAAGGACGUACUAGACUGCGAUAAGCUACGGGGAGCUGUCAAGAAGCUUUGAUCCGUAGAUUUCCGAAUGGGGCAACCCAAUGUAUAGAGAUAUACAUUACCUAUAUAGGAGCGAACGAGGGGAAUUGAAACAUCUUAGUACCCUCAGGAAAAGAAAUCAAUAGAGAUUGCGUCAGUAGCGGCGAGCGAAAGCGCAAGAGGGCAAACCCAGUGCUUGCACUGGGGGUUGUAGGACUGCAAUGUGCAAGAGGUGAGUUUAGCAGAACAUUCUGGAAAGUAUAGCCAUAGAGGGUGAUAGUCCCGUAUGCGAAAAACAAACCUUAGCUAGCAGUAUCCUGAGUAGGGCGGGACACGAGAAAUCCUGUCUGAAGCUGGGUCGACCACGAUCCAACCCUAAAUACUAAUACCAGAUCGAUAGUGCACAAGUACCGUGAGGGAAAGGUGAAAAGAACUGAGGUGAUCAGAGUGAAAUAGAACCUGAAACCAUUUGCUUACAAUCAUUCAGAGCACUAUGUAGCAAUACAGUGUGAUGGACUGCCUUUUGCAUAAUGAGCCUGCGAGUUGUGGUGUCUGGCAAGGUUAAGCAAACGCGAAGCCGUAGCGAAAGCGAGUCUGAAUAGGGCGCUUAGUCAGAUGCUGCAGACCCGAAACGAAGUGAUCUAUCCAUGAGCAAGUUGAAGCUAGUGUAAGAACUAGUGGAGGACUGAACCCAUAGGCGUUGAAAAGCCCCGGGAUGACUUGUGGAUAGGGGUGAAAGGCCAAUCAAACUUCGUGAUAGCUGGUUCUCUCCGAAAUAUAUUUAGGUAUAGCGUUGUGUCGUAAUAUAAGGGGGUAGAGCACUGAAUGGGCUAGGGCAUACACCAAUGUACCAAACCCUAUCAAACUCCGAAUACCUUAUAUGUAAUCACAGCAGUCAGGCGGCGAGUGAUAAAAUCCGUCGUCAAGAGGGAAACAACCCAGACUACCAGCUAAGGUCCCUAAAUCUUACUUAAGUGGAAAACGAUGUGAAGUUACUUAAACAACCAGGAGGUUGGCUUAGAAGCAGCCAUCCUUUAAAGAAAGCGUAAUAGCUCACUGGUCUAGUGAUUUUGCGCGGAAAAUAUAACGGGGCUAAAGUAAGUACCGAAGCUGUAGACUUGACUUUGUCAAGUGGUAGGAGAGCGUUCUAUUUGCGUCGAAGGUAUACCGGUAAGGAGUGCUGGAGCGAAUAGAAGUGAGCAUGCAGGCAUGAGUAGCGAUAAUUAAUGUGAGAAUCAUUAACGCCGUAAACCCAAGGUUUCCUACGCGAUGCUCGUCAUCGUAGGGUUAGUCGGGUCCUAAGUCGAGUCCGAAAGGGGUAGACGAUGGCAAAUUGGUUAAUAUUCCAAUACCAACAUUAGUGUGCGAUGGAAGGACGCUUAGGGCUAAGGGGGCUAGCGGAUGGAAGUGCUAGUCUAAGGUCGUAGGUGCUUAUACAGGCAAAUCCGUAUAAGAAUACACCGAGAACUGAAAGGCUUUUUGAAGUCUUCGGAUGGAUAGAAGAACCCCUGAUGCCGUCGAGCCAAGAAAAGUUUCUAAGUUUAGCUAAUGUUGCCCGUACCGUAAACCGACACAGGUGGGUGGGAUGAGUAUUCUAAGGCGCGUGGAAGAACUCUCUUUAAGGAACUCUGCAAAAUAGCACCGUAUCUUCGGUAUAAGGUGUGGUUCGCUUCGUAUUAGGAUUUACUCCGAAAGCGAAGAAACUUACAACAAAGAGUCCCUCCCGACUGUUUACCAAAAACACAGCACUCUGCUAACUCGUAAGAGGAUGUAUAGGGUGUGACGCCUGCCCGGUGCUCGAAGGUUAAUUGAUGGGGUUAGCAUUAGCGAAGCUCUUGAUCGAAGCCCGAGUAAACGGCGGCCGUAACUAUAACGGUCCUAAGGUAGCGAAAUUCCUUGUCGGUUAAAUACCGACCUGCAUGAAUGGCGUAACGAGAUGGGAGCUGUCUCAAAGAGGGAUCCAGUGAAAUUGUAGUGGAGGUGAAAAUUCCUCCUACCCGCGGCAAGACGGAAAGACCCCGUGGACCUUUACUACAGCUUGACACUGCUACUUGGAUAAGAAUGUGCAGGAUAGGUGGGAGGCUUUGAGUAUAUGACGCCAGUUGUAUAUGAGCCAUUGUUGAGAUACCACUCUUUCUUAUUUGGGUAGCUAACCAGCUUGAGUUAUCCUCAAGUGGGACAAUGUCUGGUGGGUAGUUUGACUGGGGCGGUCGCCUCCCAAAUAAUAACGGAGGCUUACAAAGGUUGGCUCAGAACGGUUGGAAAUCGUUCGUAGAGUAUAAAGGUAUAAGCCAGCUUAACUGCAAGACAUACAAGUCAAGCAGAGACGAAAGUCGGUCUUAGUGAUCCGGUGGUUCUGUGUGGAAGGGCCAUCGCUCAAAGGAUAAAAGGUACCCCGGGGAUAACAGGCUGAUCUCCCCCAAGAGCUCACAUCGACGGGGAGGUUUGGCACCUCGAUGUCGGCUCAUCGCAUCCUGGGGCUGGAGCAGGUCCCAAGGGUAUGGCUGUUCGCCAUUUAAAGCGGUACGCGAGCUGGGUUCAGAACGUCGUGAGACAGUUCGGUCCCUAUCUGCCGUGGGCGUAAGAAGAUUGAAGAGAUUUGACCCUAGUACGAGAGGACCGGGUUGAACAAACCACUGGUGUAGCUGUUGUUCUGCCAAGAGCAUCGCAGCGUAGCUAAGUUUGGAAAGGAUAAACGCUGAAAGCAUCUAAGCGUGAAGCCAACUCUAAGAUGAAUCUUCUCUAAGCUCUCUAGAAGACUACUAGUUUGAUAGGCUGGGUGUGUAAUGGAUGAAAGUCCUUUAGCUGACCAGUACUAAUAGAGCGUUUGGCUUAUCU
RNAcentral lists this ribosomal RNA (2896 nucleotides) under Campylobacter coli. Its description in RNAcentral is "bacterial LSU rRNA". It matches the Rfam family "Bacterial large subunit ribosomal RNA". Lineage: Bacteria; Pseudomonadati; Campylobacterota; Epsilonproteobacteria; Campylobacterales; Campylobacteraceae. The record is from RNAcentral.